Molecule: ribosomal RNA, 1538 nt
Filed under: metagenome
Description: SSU rRNA
Rfam family: Eukaryotic small subunit ribosomal RNA
Source: RNAcentral
GUUACCUAUCAGCUACGACGGUAGGGUAUUGGCCUACCGUGGCCGUAACGGGUAACGGAGAAUUAGGGUUCGAUUCCGGAGAGGGAGCCUGAGAGACGGCUACCACAUCUAUGGAAGGCAGCGGGCGCGCAAAUUACCCAAUCCUAACACAUUAGGGAGGUAGCGACAAGAAAUACCAAUGCAUGGCAUAUGCCGUGCAAUUGGGAUGAGUAGGGAGUAAAGCUUCCUGCGACUAUCAAUUGGAGGGCAAGUCUGGUGCCAGCAGCCGCGGUAAUUCCAGCUCCAAUAGCGUAUAUUAAAGUUGUUGCGGUUAAAACGCUCGUAGUCUAGUCUUUGCACCAGUGCUGGCUUGCAACCGCGAUCAAAUCGUUAGAUUUGAUUCUGCGAUGCACUGCUCUCGCUGGCGCACACUGGAGCUGGCUGACAUUCUCCCAAUGGGCGCCACGACCUAACAGUCUGGUCCUUUGAGAGGUUGUUGCCGCUCUGUUGUUACUUUGAACAAAUUAGGGUGUUCCAAGCAGGCGUGAUGCCGUGAAUAUACAAGCAUGGAAUAAUGUUAUAAGGCUUUUGACUUAUUUCGUUGGUUCUUUGUCAGAAGUAAUGAUGAAUAGGAACAGUCGGGGGCAUUCGUAUUUAACAGUCAGAGGUGAAAUUCUUGGAUUUGUUAAAGACGAGCUAAAGCGAAAGCAUUUGCCAAGGAUGUUUUCAUUGAUCAAGAACGAAAGUUAGGGGAUCGAAGACGAUCAGAUACCGUCCUAGUCUUAACUAUAAACUAUGCCGACUAGGGAUUGGAAGUCUCCAUUUUCGGGGCUUUCAGCAUCUCGAGAGAAAUCAAAGUCUUUGGGUUCCGGGGGGAGUAUGGUCGCAAGGCUGAAACUUAAAGGAAUUGACGGAAGGGCACCACCAGGAGUGGAGCCUGCGGCUUAAUUUGACCCAACACGGGAAACCUCACCAGGUCCGGACAUAAUGAGGAUUGACAGAUUGAAGCUCUUUCUUGAUAUUUUGGGUGGUGGUGCAUGGCCGUUCUUAGUUGGUGGAGUGAUUUGUCUGGUUAAUUCCGAUAACGAACGAGACCUUAUCCUGCUAAAUAAUUGCUUCGCCGUUCCGGUUUUGCUUCUUGAUUAUUCGUAGUCAAGUUCAUUACUCAGGAGAAGACAGUUUCUUAGAGGGACUUUGCGUGUCCAACGCAAGGAAGUUUGAGGCAAUAACAGGUCUGUGAUGCCCCUCGACGUCCUGGGCUGCACGCGCGCUACAAUGGCUGAGUUACCGAGCUUGUCCGACCUUUAACAAGGAAGGUACUCUCUAAACUCUGCCGUGAUUGGGAUAGACACUUGCAAUUAUUUGCCUUGAACCAGGAAUUCCUAGUAAGCGUAAGUCAUCAGCUUGCGCUGAUUACGUCCCUGCCUUUUGUACACACCGCCCGUCGCUUCUACCGAUUGAAUGCUCAGGUGAACACUUUGGACACACUCAGUCUUGUAUUGAGAAUGGAAGCUGUGUAAGCCUUAUCAUUUAGAGGAAGGAGAAGUCGUAACAAGGUU